CAAGCCAGGUUGCAAUUACAGUGCCUCAUUUUCUGGAAGUAUUUCCAUUAUCCUGCUGUAACAAAAGCCAUGUUUUUUAUUUUUGCCUUUAUGAGGGUAAACUCAUAACAGCUUGACAUGGACAAUU
Dipodomys ordii (Ord's kangaroo rat) is the source of this 127-nucleotide small nucleolar RNA. The record is from Ensembl. NCBI's taxonomy places the organism in Eukaryota, Metazoa, Chordata, Mammalia, Rodentia, Heteromyidae.